GUAGGGAAUAUUGCUCAAUGGGCGAAAGCCUGAAGCAGCAACGCCGCGUGCGGGAUGAAGAUCUUCGGAUCGUAAACCGCUUUUGUGAAGGACGAGAAAGGACUGUACUUCAAGAAUAAGUCUCGGCUAACUACGUGCCAGCAGCCGCGGUAAUACGUAGGAGACAAACGUUAUCCGGAUUUACUGGGCGUAAAGCGCGUGCAGGCGGUUUGGUAAGUUGGGUGUGAAAUCUCCUGGCUCAACUAGGAGAGGUCGCUCAAUACUGCCAGACUAGAGGACGGUAGAGGGAGGUGGAAUUCCCGGUGUAGUAGUGAAAUGCGUAGAUAUCGGGAGGAACACCUGUGGCGAAAGCGGCCUCCUGGGCCGUACCUGACGCUCAGACGCGAAAGCGCGGGUAGCGAACGGGAUUAGAUACCCCGGUAGUCC
Molecule: ribosomal RNA, 426 nt
Filed under: uncultured bacterium
Lineage: Bacteria
Description: bacterial SSU rRNA
Rfam family: Bacterial small subunit ribosomal RNA
Source: RNAcentral